RNAcentral lists this ribosomal RNA (1520 nucleotides) under metagenome. RNAcentral's name for it is "bacterial SSU rRNA". It matches the Rfam family "Bacterial small subunit ribosomal RNA". The record is from RNAcentral.
AGAGUUUGAUCAUGGCUCAGAUUGAACGCUGGCGGCAGGCCUAACACAUGCAAGUCGAACGGUAACAGGAAACAGCUUGCUGUUUCGCUGACGAGUGGCGGACGGGUGAGUAAUGUCUGGGAAACUGCCUGAUGGAGGGGGAUAACUACUGGAAACGGUAGCUAAUACCGCAUAACGUCGCAAGACCAAAGAGGGGGACCCUCGGGCCUCUUGCCAUCGGAUGUGCCCAGAUGGGAUUAGCUUGUUGGUGGGGUAACGGCUCACCAAGGCGACGAUCCCUAGCUGGUCUGAGAGGAUGACCAGCCACACUGGAACUGAGACACGGUCCAGACUCCUACGGGAGGCAGCAGUGGGGAAUAUUGCACAAUGGGCGCAAGCCUGAUGCAGCCAUGCCGCGUGUAUGAAGAAGGCCUUCGGGUUGUAAAGUACUUUCAGCGGGGAGGAAGGGAGUAAAGUUAAUACCUUUGCUCAUUGACGUUACCCGCAGAAGAAGCACCGGCUAACUCCGUGCCAGCAGCCGCGGUAAUACGGAGGGUGCAAGCGUUAAUCGAAUUACUGGGCGUAAAGCGCACGCAGGCGGUUUGUUAAGUCAGAUGUGAAAUCCCCGGGCUCAACCUGGGAACUGCAUCUGAUACUGGCAAGCUUGAGUCUCGUAGAGGGGGGUAGAAUUCCAGGUGUAGCGGUGAAAUGCGUAGAGAUCUGGAGGAAUACCGGUGGCGAAGGCGGCCCCCUGGACGAAGACUGACGCUCAGGUGCGAAAGCGUGGGGAGCAAACAGGAUUAGAUACCCUGGUAGUCCACGCCGUAAACGAUGUCGACUUGGAGGUUGUGCCCUUGAGGCGUGGCUUCCGGAGCUAACGCGUUAAGUCGACCGCCUGGGGAGUACGGCCGCAAGGUUAAAACUCAAAUGAAUUGACGGGGGCCCGCACAAGCGGUGGAGCAUGUGGUUUAAUUCGAUGCAACGCGAAGAACCUUACCUGGUCUUGACAUCCACGGAAGUUUUCAGAGAUGAGAAUGUGCCUUCGGGAACCGUGAGACAGGUGCUGCAUGGCUGUCGUCAGCUCGUGUUGUGAAAUGUUGGGUUAAGUCCCGCAACGAGCGCAACCCUUAUCCUUUGUUGCCAGCGGUCCGGCCGGGAACUCAAAGGAGACUGCCAGUGAUAAACUGGAGGAAGGUGGGGAUGACGUCAAGUCAUCAUGGCCCUUACGACCAGGGCUACACACGUGCUACAAUGGCGCAUACAAAGAGAAGCGACCUCGCGAGAGCAAGCGGACCUCAUAAAGUGCGUCGUAGUCCGGAUUGGAGUCUGCAACUCGACUCCAUGAAGUCGGAACCGCUAGUAAUCGUGGAUCAGAAUGCCACGGUGAAUACGUUCCCGGGCCUUGUACACACCGCCCGUCACACCAUGGGAGUGGGUUGCAAAAGAAGUAGGUAGCUUAACCUUCGGGAGGGCGCUUACCACUUUGUGAUUCAUGACUGGGGUGAAGUCGAACAAGGUAACCGUAGGGGAACCUGCGGUUG